GUCUGCAACCCGACUACAUGAAGCUGGAAUCGCUAGUAAUCGCGAAUCAGAAUGUCGCGGUGAAUACGUUCCCGGGUCUUGUACACACCGCCCGUCACACCAUGGGAGUCGGAAAUGCCCGAAGUCAGUGACCCAACCGCAAGGAGGGAGCUGCCGGAGGUGGAGCCGGUAACUGGGGUGAAGUCGUAACAAGGUAGC
Molecule: ribosomal RNA, 198 nt
Filed under: uncultured bacterium
Lineage: Bacteria
Description: partial 16S ribosomal RNA
Rfam family: Bacterial small subunit ribosomal RNA
Source: RNAcentral